RNAcentral lists this ribosomal RNA (346 nucleotides) under uncultured bacterium. RNAcentral's name for it is "bacterial SSU rRNA". It matches the Rfam family "Bacterial small subunit ribosomal RNA", at positions 1 to 334 of the family's 1533-position model. The record is from RNAcentral.
GUGAGUAGUUCAGAGUUUGAUCCUGGCUCAGGAUGAACGCUAGCUACAGGCUUAACACAUGCAAGUCGAGGGGCAGCACGGGGAUAGCUUGCUAUUCUGGGUGGCGACCGGCGCACGGGUGAGUAACGCGUAUCCAACCUGCCCAUUACUCAGGGAUAGCCUUGCGAAAGUAAGAUUAAUACCUGAUGUUGUUAGUUUGCUGCAUGGUGAAUUAACUAAAGAUUUAUUGGUAAUGGAUGGGGAUGCGUAACAUUAGGUAGUUGGUGAGGUAACGGCUCACCAAGCCUACGAUGUUUAGGGGUUCUGAGAGGAAGGUCCCCCACACUGGAACUGAGACACGGUCCAG